GAUGAACGCUGGCGGCGUGCCUAAUACAUGCAAGUCGAGCGAAUGGAUUGAGAGCUUGCUCUUAUGAAGUUAGCGGCGGACGGGUGAGUAACACGUGGGUAACCUGCCCAUAAGACUGGGAUAACUCCGGGAAACCGGGGCUAAUACCGGAUAACAUUUUGAACCGCAUGGUUCGAAAUUGAAAGGCGGCUUCGGCUGUCACUUAUGGAUGGACCCGCGUCGCAUUAGCUAGUUGGGGAGGUAACGGCUCACCAAGGCGACGAUGCGUAGCCGAGCUGAGAGGGUGAGCGGCCACACUGGGACUGAGACACGGCCCAGACUCCAACGGGAGGAAGCAGUAGGGAAUCUUCCGCAAUGGACGAAAGUCUGACGGAGCAACGCCGCGUGGGUGAUGAAGGGUUUCGGGUCGUAAAACUCUGUUGUUAGGGAAGAACAAGUGCUAGUUGAAUAAGCUGGCACCUUGACGGUACCUAACCAGAAAGCCACGACUAACUACGUGCCAGCAGCCGCGGUAA
Molecule: ribosomal RNA, 515 nt
Filed under: uncultured bacterium
Lineage: Bacteria
Description: partial 16S ribosomal RNA
Rfam family: Bacterial small subunit ribosomal RNA
Source: RNAcentral